AAUAGAUACCCAGGUAGUCCACCCCGUAAACGUUGGGAACUAGUUGUGGGGACCAUUCCACGGUUUCCGUGACGCAGCUAACGCAUUAAGUUCCCCGCCUGGGGAGUACGGCCGCAAGGCUAAAACUCAAAGGAAUUGACGGGGACCCGCACAAGCGGCGGAGCAUGCGGAUUAAUUCGAUGCAACGCGAAGAACCUUACCAAGGCUUGACAUAUACGAGAACGGGCCAGAAAUGGUCAACUCUUUGGACACUCGUAAACAGGUGGUGCAUGGUUGUCGUCAGCUCGUGUCGUGAGAUGUUGGGUUAAGUCCCGCAACGAGCGCAACCCUCGUUCUAUGUUGCCAGCACGUAAUGGUGGGAACUCAUGGGAUACUGCCGGGGUCAACUCGGAGGAAGGUGGGGAUGACGUCAAAUCAUCAUGCCCCUUAUGUCUUGGGCUUCACGCAUGCUACAAUGGCCGGUACAAAGGGCUGCAAUACCGUAAGGUGGAGCGAAUCCCAAAAACGCGGUCCACGUUCGGAUUGAGGUCUGCAACUCGACCUCA
This 545-nucleotide ribosomal RNA is filed under the name uncultured bacterium. RNAcentral's name for it is "bacterial SSU rRNA". It matches the Rfam family "Bacterial small subunit ribosomal RNA", at positions 777 to 1320 of the family's 1533-position model. The record is from RNAcentral.